UUUCGUGCUAAAAACCCUCGAUGCAAUAAAUUCUAUACACAUUAAAAUAAAACAAGCUUGAAUGAAAAACCGUAUUAAACCUUAAUUUCACUGUUGCAGCUUAAUAUGUUUGCAUUCUAUCACCGUAAUACAGUCCUUCUGUGUGUCGCAUUACUGCAAUAAUUAUUUUAUAUUUUAUGUUUAAAAUUAUCUAAGUUAUGAAAAUAUAUGUAACGAAAGAAAAGGCAUGAUUGGCUUCUAGACAAUCAAACAGGUAGAACUGUACCCAAGCUAACCAGCCUGCCCCACACAGGUAUGCACACAGCCACAGGCACAAGACGGAAACGAUGUUUUGGUAUAAAUAAGCCCGCAACGCUCUCGGCAUGUCACAUUCGUUCGAACCAUCUAGACUGAUGGCUUCUCCAUCGACAAGAGAAAUUUCCCGAAGAUCAGCAUCAGCAAGCCGAUUGUAAAAGUGAAAAAGCAUUAAGCGUCACCAAAAUAUACAGUAAACAUACCGGCAACCAAAGCAAUACCGGUUCAAGUGCAAGUGUUCUUCAGAAACUACAUUUCCUGUGAUGGCAUCAAAAACCACCUUUCCAGCGAUGGCAUCAAAAACCAUCCAAAGCGAGCCGAGCACAUGGUCAGCGCACCUCCGAUCAAGGUUAUGUGUAUCGAAAUGUGGGAUAAAACUAAAGCGACAUGUAAAUACCAACCUGUGAUCGAGAUAAAGCGCAAGCAUCAUCUUACGAAAGUGCUGAAGUGAUGUGAUUGAAGAAAUGAUUACCAUGUACAAAUCGUCUAAAAAUGGUGUUUGCGUAAAUAUUUCAUUCCGGAAUUAAUAAAUCGAGCGAAUACACGCAGCACAAAGAAGAGGACAGUCCACCAACACCUGGAAACUUGGAUAGACGGCCCAUAGAGCUGGAGUAAAUAGAUAGCCGGCACAGACAAACAACGGCGUUAGAAAAAUAUAUGGAGUGAAAUGUGACAGUGAAAGUGGGACAAUCCUUGAGUCGACAAGUUUGCUGAGCUCAUUGUCCAACACGGAUUGACAGGCGAGAAUGGACCGGAGUCCCAACCGUAUCUGCCGACCGAAAACGACUGAGCUGGCGCUGAUAUCCGCUAACGUCUGCGCGUCUUCAGCAGCUAGAGUGAAAGUGUCAUAAUACACCAUAAUACCGGUAUUUAACAAUUCAAUUUCUCAGCAGCCCUGCUUGGAAGUUUGCUUGCGAUUAGCUCUCAAUAACUCAAUAAUCGUCCAAUGUUCGUUGCAAGCAGCAACGCAGUAAAUUCCAUCUAUCCCUCAACUUUCGAACCGGUUUUAGUUAGACCCUUUGCCGCUCUUCUGCAGUUUCUUUUUUUUGAAUUGUAAAGAAAUUCAACUGCUAGAAUUUUCGAUUAUUGCGAAAGAAGAAACGAUAGUUAACAGUUGAUUUAGACAGUGUUUAGAGAGAUGUUGUGUGAGUUUGCAGUUUUUUUUUAAUUUGACAAAGAGCGGGUUUGUGGGAAGUAUUGCUUCCUACCGAAUUGAUGAUGUAUUCUUUUAGUUUUUUUUUGUUUUAUUCAUUAUUUUGGUUCAUUUAUGUUUGGGAAAGUGGAGUGAACAAUGUAAAUAUCGUCUAUUUGGUAUCUUACAACUAAAGUUAUUACCAUUUAUACUUUAAAUCAAUGCAAAAUAUGGCAUUGUUUUAACAACUUCUUAAAUUUCGGAUAUAUUUUACAUUCUGUAUUAUAUACCUCAAUGGACCAUUUCUUGAUUAAAGAUACCAAGAUAAUAAUUUUACAAUCACUACAAAAUUGCCACGCGGAUUUUAUCCAUCUGGAAGAUGGAUUAUAUCGAUGAAUCUAGCAAAACGUAAAAAUGAUACCAAUUAAUAUGCUUGACACAUCAUAACUGCGAAUUGUAUCGAUAAUCGGCAAGCAAAUGGGGUGCUUGAAUUGCACAGCGCUGGCAAAUCCUAUGUAUCAAAAUCGUUAGCAUUGUUGGUUGUAUUGUACUGCGGAUGAAUGAAGAUCUUUUCGAAAAUAGUUCUUCAACCAGAAAUUAUUAAAUCAGUUUAAUAUCUAUUACCUCUCCUACCUACACAAUUCUAUAUCAACGCUUCAGUUGGCCCUGGAAGCAUGCUGAACUGGUCUCAAAUUCACUCGUUCAUUUCGUAUCCUGCUGGAGUACGAAGAAUGUCGUUCGAGUUGCCUCACAUUUUUUACUAUUCCACAAUCAAUUUCAGCGCGCUGUUCAUUGUCCACAGACAGAAGGGUUGCACGUACACCUGUGUGCAUAAAAAUAGUAACUGCUUAAGAAUCGACCACAGAUUUUCUAUCGGCUUUAGGUCAGGACUCAACGCAGGCCACGGUAGAACGCUCUGGAUAAUCGCGCUCUGAUACUCGGUACAAUGUUUACCUCGACCCAUUGUUUCACGUAGCGACUAACGCGCACAUCCUGGUUUGCCAAAUAACUCUUAACUGUUCGCGAUGUGUGUUUUGAGUCGUUAUCAUGCUGAAAGAUGUAAUGCUCUUCGCUUUCGAAUGUUUUUCGAGCGUAUGGAAACCUCUUACGACUAAGUAUUUUUCUGUACCCUUCCGAGUUCAGUGUCCCGUUGAUACGGAACAAAGGACCCGUGCCGUGACAGGAGAAGCAACCCCACACCAUUACGUGGACGCCUCCGUGCUUAAGGGUUUUUACCGUGUUUUUCGGAUGAUACGCCUGAUUGGGUAGGCGCCAGACGUAUUUAAUGCCGUCCGAAUCAUCCAGAUUGAUUCUGGACUCAUCCGAAAAAAUUAUUUUCAUCCACCAAGUGAUGGAUGCAGCUAAAUGUUCUUCGGCAAAUCGAAUGCGCGCUUCAACGUGGUGCGGCAGCAGCUUCCGAACCUUCCGUGGUCUCCGGGCACGGAACCCAGCGUCGUGUAAACGGCGAAACACCGUCUUCGAUGAAACUUGCAAUACAAGCUCCUGCUUGAUUUAAGUGCAAGUUUUGAAAGAGUCCGCCCUGCGCGUCAACGUUAGCCGUUGUUUUUCGCGGACGACCGGUCGACUUACCCGUAGCCUCGCUACGAAUGGCGUUGUCCACAAACGUCUUGCAGAUUGUCUUUAUUGGUACGUUCUCACGAAACAGCCCCUGAAUGUGUUUUCGCUCCUCUGGUAUGCAGUGUUUUCUAUAUCAACGCUACAGCAGCCACUACUUCUUUAUUCUAAGCUUUUGUAGUCAUAAUGUGGCGCUGGAAGCAUGCUGAACUGGUCUCAAAUUCACUCGUUCAUUUCGUAUCUUGCUGGAGUACGAAGAAUGUCGUUCAAGUUGCCGCACAUUCUUCACUAUUCCGCAAUUAAUUUCAGCGCGCUGUUCAUUGUCUACAGACAGACGGGUUGCACGUACCUGGUCAUCGUGAUAUUGGAGCUCAGCUUGAUCAAGGCUAUGUCGUUGACGAUGCUGGCUUUGCUAAACCCUGGAUGUAUGAUUAUCUCCCGCGCACUUGCUGGCCUUACCUUGGGUAGGGGGACACACCCAGCUCAUAAAUCAAGACGUGUAACAUCGUUUACAGUCUAUAUACUAACAUUAACAUUGUACCGAAUCAAAUUUACUUGCUGUAAUUACUGGGUACAAUUUUCGUAGUUUAGUGCUGAUCGGUCAACCGACUGAACAGCUGAUAACCAAAAAGCUGGUUACCAAAUUGGGCAGAGCCUUCGGCGAGUUUUGCAAAACGAUGAGAUACACCAGAACACGAGUGAUCCUCGCUUGACGAAAUUUGCAUUGGUUGAAGCAUUGAUUCGAAGCAGAAAAAUGUUUGUUGGUUCUAUUUCGUCAUUCACUUUUCGGUUGAAACGAUGGACAACUAUCUCACAUUAAAAACCCCAUUUAAGUUAGACGUGAGAACUAAUGCAACGUAGAGACUUCUUCUAGAAAAGUUCCAUGGUCUCCUCGUGUGACAUAGGCGACAGUUCCAGUAGGAGGUUGCCUUGGAAGCAUGUGCGAAUUCUUUGCACUUCUUCCCUAUUAAUACUCCCCUUGGAAGUAUCUCCAUUCAGCCGUGCUUGAAUCCAUUAACGCAUUGAAGCUCUAUUGCGUUUGGUAUUCGGUCAGCCUUAUUUUCGAGUUAAAACAAUUGAUUCUAUGUUACGACUAUACUGUAGCUCUAAUCACUUUAGGCUUUACUUGCUUCCCUCUUUACAUUUAAGAAAUGUACUAUCAUUUAACAGCCGCAUUGUUGAAUUUAUUGAAUUUACAAUCGCCACUUCACUAGAAACCCCUUUAACACCAUACUCAAACUCACACACAUGUCUCAAAGCAAUAUACAAUGAAGAUCAUAUUUGAAGAAAGGAACGUAAAAAAGAAACAAUAGAUGUUUAAAGAUAAAGAUUUAAGGAAUCCUGUAAAUGGUCUCUAUAAUAAAUUCCAAUUCAAAUAGCAUUCUAAUGUAAUUAUAUGAAAUAAAAAUAUAAUAAUGUAUACUGAA
Long non-coding RNA from Anopheles coluzzii, 4428 nucleotides. RefSeq lists it as uncharacterized. The transcript has 2 exons. The record is from RefSeq and is a predicted model, not a curated record. Lineage: Eukaryota; Metazoa; Arthropoda; Insecta; Diptera; Culicidae.